This 1170-nucleotide long non-coding RNA is filed under the name Hordeum vulgare. Its description in RNAcentral is "long non-coding RNA (HVUL_LNC008302)". The record is from RNAcentral. Lineage: Eukaryota; Viridiplantae; Streptophyta; Magnoliopsida; Poales; Poaceae.
AACAAUGGAAAAUAAUUAUCAUAAUUAGGUAGGAAGUGAUCAAUUCGUGUGUCGUACCCUCCAUCUUUCCUCAUAUACAUCUAUCUUCUCCCUCUAUAUAUAUUAUCUCGCAUUCUACAGGCAGCAAAACACCCAUAAACGUAUUCAACUUGCAGCCGAAAUGGGGGAGUGCUCGAAGCGCGUCCACACGCUGUUGCUUUUUGUUCUUCUCCUAUGUUUUGCUAUUCAUGGGCAGUGUAAGUGACACUACGGGAUGCAACAUAUUAUUCUUCUCGUGUCCUUCAUUUGGUUCUUCAUGUAUGUUUCAUCACUUUACUGAUUUGUACUGAAUAUUAAUUGUGUAAUAUGUAUCAAUAUAUCUAAAGGUGGACGCUUAGGCAUGGAGAAGGAUCAUCCUGGGUGCUACAGGAGUAGCACUUUUCCACCCUGCAAUCCUGACAAAAAUAGAUGCUAUUGUUGUUUAUACAAUUGGACUUGCUACAAGUCCUUUACUGAAUGCGGGCCUGCUUGCCAUCCUCCCUCCUCUCCUUCAUCUGUACUGCCAUAAAAUUAGAAUCUUGUACCGAAUUGGAAAGAUGGAUGAAUAAGACGAUGAAUUAACAAGUUUUCAUCUUUAUAGUCGGCCAUUUCCUUUUUUCGCAGAACUUAUGUCCCCUAUGCAAUAACAUGGUUUGCUAGAAAUGUUCUAGUGAUAACGAAUAAAAGAUGACUAAAGUUAGUCAAACAACCUGGAUUUCUAGUUCAUUUCAUUGAUAAAGAUGAACAAAAGUCACUGUAAGACUUAACAUACAAGCACAUGUAUAGAAAUUAUUUCCUGUACAUGAUACAUACAUGGAGCUUAACUAUUUCCACUUUUAAUUAAUAUAGCAAAUCAUGAAUUUAGCUGGUGCAGUUCGGGUAGAGGUGUUUCGGCUCUCGGGUGCAUUUGCACCCGGAUGAACCGUAACAUAAAAAUAACACUAAAUGUUUUAAAAAAUUGUUUUUUUCUGGAUGUUCGUGUUACUGUCGCGAGCAUGCUUGACAACUUUCAUGCGAAUCGGAAGAGUGGUGUUUCGUUUUGAUGUGACAUUUUGGGGUAACAAAAUUGACGUUCAAUUUGUUAUUUUUUUGCAUAGACCAAAAUGCUUAAUCUUUUUGCCUAAAAAUUUUCAGGUAGCAUUUCAAUGUGAC